This 253-nucleotide ribosomal RNA is filed under the name uncultured bacterium. RNAcentral's name for it is "partial 16S ribosomal RNA". It matches the Rfam family "Bacterial small subunit ribosomal RNA", at positions 524 to 776 of the family's 1533-position model. The record is from RNAcentral.
UACGAAGGGGGCUAGCGUUGCUCGGAAUCACUGGGCGUAAAGCGCACGUAGGCGGAUCUUUAAGUCAGAGGUGAAAUCCCAAGGCUCAACCUUGGAACUGCCUUUGAUACUGGGGAUCUCGAGUCCGGAAGAGGUGAGUGGAACUGCGAGUGUAGAGGUGAAAUUCGUAGAUAUUCGCAAGAACACCAGUGGCGAAGGCGGCGCACUGGUCCGGUACUGACGCUGAGGUGCGAAAGCGUGGGGAGCAAACAGG